GAUGAACGCUGGCGGCGUGCCUAAUACAUGCCAGUCGAGCGAACAGAUAAGGAGCUUGCUCCUUUGAAGUUAGCGGCGGACGGGUGAGUAACACGUGGGUAACCUACCUAUAAGACUGGGAUAACUUCGGGAAACCGGAGCUAAUACCGGAUAACAUUUAGAACCGCAUGGUUCUAAAGUGAAAGAUGGUUUUGCUAUCACUUAUAGAUGGACCCGCGCCGUAUUAGCUAGUUGGUAAGGUAACGGCUUAUCAAGGCGACGAUACGUAGCCGACCUGAGAGGGUGAUCGGCCACACUGGAACUGAGACACGGUCCAGACUCCUACGGGAGGCAGCAGUAGGGAAUCUUCCGCAAUGGGCGAAAGCCUGACGGAGCAACGCCGCGUGAGUGAUGAAGGGUUUCGGCUCGUAAAACUCUGUUAUUAGGGAAGAACAAAUGUGUAAGUAACUGUGCACAUCUUGACGGUACCUAAUCAGAAAGCCACGGCUAACUACGUG
This 497-nucleotide ribosomal RNA is filed under the name uncultured bacterium. Its description in RNAcentral is "partial 16S ribosomal RNA". It matches the Rfam family "Bacterial small subunit ribosomal RNA", at positions 28 to 507 of the family's 1533-position model. The record is from RNAcentral.